GCACCGGUGGUGUACGGUACACACGUCGCUUCGAUAUGCGGAUUGUCAAUCGAUUAUUACGACAAGCUGGGGUUCGAAUCCCCGCCGGUGCA
This is a non-coding RNA of Mycena epipterygia, 92 nucleotides long. The record is from the annotation of a GenBank genome assembly. NCBI's taxonomy places the organism in Eukaryota, Fungi, Basidiomycota, Agaricomycetes, Agaricales, Mycenaceae.